GGGUGACAGUUGGGCGCCAUGCGCCGUGCCAGGACUGUUCGCAGCGCUCGCCGGCCGGAGCUGCGCGCGGGGCUCCCCUCCCCCGCUGAGUCCGGGUGGGAGGUGGCUCGGGAAUCCUAGCCGGGCGCGAUCGGCGUGGGCAUCUAGUGGCGCACCACUCGGGCACAGCCUCCGCUUGGGUACUCCUGGGUGUUUGAUAGUGAGCAUGGCCCUUGAGUUUGAUCGUCGGAGUCCUGGUACUUUUAACUUUAAAAAA
This 256-nucleotide long non-coding RNA is filed under the name Mus musculus (house mouse). RNAcentral describes it as "long non-coding RNA chr11:58009918-58010174". The record is from RNAcentral. Lineage: Eukaryota; Metazoa; Chordata; Mammalia; Rodentia; Muridae.